Molecule: ribosomal RNA, 555 nt
Filed under: uncultured Candidatus Nitrosopumilus sp.
Lineage: Archaea; Thermoproteati; Nitrososphaerota; Nitrososphaeria; Nitrosopumilales; Nitrosopumilaceae
Description: bacterial SSU rRNA
Rfam family: Archaeal small subunit ribosomal RNA
Source: RNAcentral
GUCUGGUGCCAGCAGCCGCGGUAAAACCAGCACCUCAAGUGGUCAGGAUGAUUAUUGGGCCUAAAGCAUCCGUAGCCGGAUCUGUAAGUUUUCGGUUAAAUCUGUACGCUUAACGUACAGGCUGCCGGGAAUACUGCAGAUCUAGGGAGUGGGAGAGGUAGACGGUACUCGGUAGGAAGGGGUAAAAUCCUUUGAUCUAUUGAUGACCACCUGUGGCGAAGGCGGUCUACCAGAACACGUCCGACGGUGAGGGAUGAAAGCUGGGGGAGCAAACCGGAUUAGAUACCCGGGUAGUCCCAGCUGUAAACUAUGCAAACUCAGUGAUGCAUUGACUUGUGGUCAAUGCAGUGCUGCAGGGAAGCCGUUAAGUUUGCCGCCUGGGAAGUACGUACGCAAGUAUGAAACUUAAAGGAAUUGGCGGGGGAGCACCACAAGGGGUGAAGCCUGCGGUUCAAUUGGAGUCAACGCCAGAAAUCUUACCCGGAGAGACAGCAGAAUGAAGGUCAAGCUGAAGACUUUACCAGACAAGCUGAGAGGUGGUGCAUGGCCGUUCUU